This is a small nucleolar RNA of Lates calcarifer (barramundi perch), 82 nucleotides long. The record is from Ensembl. NCBI's taxonomy places the organism in Eukaryota, Metazoa, Chordata, Actinopteri, Centropomidae.
GCUCUAGAUGUGAUGAGUUUGUCAUGUCUCUUCUCUGACUAUCACUGGAGAAAGAUUUAACACCUCUGAUCUCAGCAUGAGU